This 735-nucleotide ribosomal RNA is filed under the name uncultured Psychromonas sp. RNAcentral's name for it is "bacterial SSU rRNA". It matches the Rfam family "Bacterial small subunit ribosomal RNA", at positions 140 to 870 of the family's 1533-position model. Lineage: Bacteria; Pseudomonadati; Pseudomonadota; Gammaproteobacteria; Alteromonadales; Psychromonadaceae. The record is from RNAcentral.
GGGACAACAGUUGGAAACGACUGCUAAUACCGCAUAACAUCUCCGGAUCAAAGUGGGGGACCUUCGGGCCUCACGCCAUAAGAGUAGCCCAAGUGGGAUUAGCUAGUUGGUAAGGUAAUGGCUUACCAAGGCGACGAUCCCUAGUUGGUCUUAGAGGAUGACCAGCCACACUGGAACUGAGACACGGUCCAGACUCCUACGGGAGGCAGCAGUGGGGAAUAUUGCACAAUGGGCGCAAGCCUGAUGCAGCCAUGCCGCGUGUGUGAAGAAGGCUUUCGGGUUGUAAAGCACUUUCAGCGAGGAGGAAAGGGUAAAUCUUAAUAGGGUUUAUCUGUGACGUUACUCGCAGAAGAAGCACCGGCUAACUCCGUGCCAGCAGCCGCGGUAAUACGGAGGGUGCGAGCGUUAAUCGGAAUUACUGGGCGUAAAGCGCGCGUAGGCGGUUAAUUAAGUCAGAUGUGAAAUCCCAGGGCUCAACCUUGGAACUGCAUUUGAAACUGGUUAACUAGAGUUUUGUAGAGGGUGGUAGAAUUUCAGGUGUAGCGGUGAAAUGCGUAGAGAUCUGAAGGAAUACCAGUGGCGAAGGCGGCCACCUGGACAAAGACUGACGCUGAGGCGCGAAGGCGUGGGGAGCAAACGGGAUUAGAUACCCCGGUAGUCCACGCAGUAAACGAUGUCUAUUAGAAUUUUGUGGCUAUAUGCCGUGGGAUUCAAAGCUAACGCAUUAAAUAGACC